Molecule: ribosomal RNA, 407 nt
Filed under: uncultured bacterium
Lineage: Bacteria
Description: partial 16S ribosomal RNA
Rfam family: Bacterial small subunit ribosomal RNA
Source: RNAcentral
AUUGAACGCUAGCGGGAUGCCUUACACAUGCAAGUCGAACGGAGUGGCGAACGGGUGAGUAAUGUAUCGGAACGUGCCCAGUAGCGGGGGAUAACUACGCGAAAGCGUUGCUAAUACCGCAUACUAUUGGAGCGGCCGAUAUCGGAUUAGCUAGUUGGGGGGGUAACGGCUCACCAAGGCGACGAUCCUUAGCUGGUUUGAGCGGAGGACCAGCAACACUGGGACUGGGACACGGCCCAGACUCCUAGGGGAGGCAGCAGUGGGGAAUGUUGGACAAGGGGGGAAACCCUGAUCCAGCCAGCCCGGGGGUGCGAUGAAGGCCUACGGGUUGUAAAGCACUUUUGGCAGGAGAGCGGUACCUGCAGAAUAAGCACCGGCUAACUACGUGCCAGCAGCCGCGGUAAUAC